This 1943-nucleotide long non-coding RNA is filed under the name Citrus sinensis (sweet orange). RNAcentral's name for it is "long non-coding RNA (CSIN_LNC003571)". The record is from RNAcentral. Lineage: Eukaryota; Viridiplantae; Streptophyta; Magnoliopsida; Sapindales; Rutaceae.
UCUGCUUCUGGUUUUGGUUUUACUGGAGAUUACAGUGGCUGCUCUCCUUCCGCACCCACAGUUCCUACUCCUGAGAUGGUUGAAGAUCCCACCUGGUACAUUGACAGUGGUGCAACUAAUCAUAUCACCAAUGAUGCAGGUAAACUUCUUGAACCAAAAUCUUAUAGUGGAAGUGAAAAGUUGCUUGUUGGUAAUGGUUCUUCUCUGCAUAUUAAACAAGUUGGAUCAGUAUUGCUAGCCACAACUACAUCUGAAUCUUUGUUGCUAAGUCAUGUUCUUUAUGUUCCUCAAAUAACAAUUCCAGAUUCUUCUUCAUAACUUUUCUUCGUUUUCUCAUUGUUUUUCUUACUCUCCAAACACAUAAUUACAGAUUCUUUCAUGGUAUCAGAGCAAUCAAUGAUGAGCUCGAAUCAAACCUCUGGAUCUUAUAGUUUUGUUACUCCUGUGAAACUCGACCAGAAUAACUUCAUUGUUUGGAGAACUCAGAUUUUAACAACGAUUAAAGGUAACAGGUUGGAGAGCUUUAUCAAUGGUGAUCGAGCCUGUCCAGAGCAAUUUCUUCCAUCAGCUGUCACUGGAGCUAUUGAUUCAACAAGAUCAAAGGAUUGAGAAAUUAAUCCAGAGUUUUUAGCUUAGGUGAAGACUGAUCAGUUGAUUCUGAGUUGGAUGAUGUCAUCAAUUCAACAAAAUUUGCUGGCAACGGUGAUUCAUUGCUCUACUGCUAAAGAGCUUCUGGACACACUUACUAGUAUGUUUAUCUCACAAUCUCAGGCUAGAAUAAUGCCUCUUAAAAUGCAGAUUCAAACACUUAAAAAAGGCUCAAUGUCAAUGAUUGAUUAUUUUGCUAAAAUGAAAAGGUUAUCUGAUAGCUUAGCUCUGGCUGGAAAACCUGUUGAAUUGAAUGAUUUUGUUCAAUAUGUUUUGACUGGAUUGGAUUCCUCAGAUUAUGAGUCUCUUGUUACGAGCGUCUUAGCUAGAGGUGACAAGAUUAAUCUUGAUGAGUUUUACUCUUUACUGUUAAGUCAUGAGAAUAGAGUUGAGCAGAAGAGAGGCAAAAUUGCUAGUGAUGUUACUCAUAAUUUGUCAGCUAAUAUGGCAUAAAAACAGUUUAAUUCUGGAAAAAAUGCUGGUGGUAAUCCAAGAUAUAAUAAUAAUAUAACUUAUGGUGGAGGUGUCUAUGGAAAUUUUGCUAAUGGAAAUGGUAUGGGACAAUCUGGUGAUGGUAAUUCAACUAUCAUUUGUCAAAUCUGUUUUAUACCGGGUCAUGGAGCUCACAAGUGCAAGAAUAGGUACAAUUCUGCUUUUGUACCUUCAAGGAAUCAAGCAAGAGGAAAUUUUAAUGGCAAUUUUAGGGCUGGUCAAAGGAAUUUUGGAAGGGGAUUUGGAAAUUCAGGUGGCAGAUUUUUUAAUGGUGCUUAUGGCAGAGGGUUUAAUUCUCAAUUUGGCAAUGUCUUUACUAAACAUAAUGCUGGAAAUUUCAAUUUGCCAAGAGGUCCAGGAUAUCAAAGCUAUGUGAUGUGCUCAGAUCCAGCUGCUUUUUAUGUUACUCAACCUGGUAGCUCCACUAAUGCAAGUUCUUCUGCUUCUGGUUUUGGUUUUACUGGAGAUUACAGUGGCUGCUCUCCUUCCGCACCCACAGUUCCUACUCCUGAGAUGGUUGAAGAUCCCACCUGGUACAUUGACAGUGGUGCAACUAAUCAUAUCACCAAUGAUGCAGGUAAACUUCUUGAACCAAAAUCUUAUAGUGGAAGUGAAAAGUUGCUUGUUGGUAAUGGUUCUUCUCUGCAUAUUAAACAAGUUGGAUCAGUAUUGCUAGCCACAACUACAUCUGAAUCUUUGUUGCUAAGUCAUGUUCUUUAUGUUCCUCAAAUAACCAAAAAUUUACUUAGUGUCUCAAAACUUCUAGCUGAUAAUAAUGCUACUAUUGAAUUUCUUGAAAAUUG